Molecule: long non-coding RNA, 213 nt
Filed under: Brassica napus (rape)
Lineage: Eukaryota; Viridiplantae; Streptophyta; Magnoliopsida; Brassicales; Brassicaceae
Description: long non-coding RNA (BNAP_LNC015652)
Source: RNAcentral
UGUUAUGUUUAAAUCCCUAGAACCCCAAACCCGAAACCCGAAACCACAAACCCCAAACCCCAAACCCCAAACCCCAAACCCCAAACCCGAAACCCGAAACCCGAAACCCGAAACCCCAACCCCGAAACCCCAAACCCGAAAUCCGAAACCCGAAACCCCAAACCCGAAACCCCAUACCCCAAACCCGAAACCCCAAACCCGAAACCCGAAACC